GUGGAUUAGAUACCCUGGUAGUCCACGCCGUAAACGAUGAUAACUAGCUGUCCGGGCACAUGGUGCUUGGGUGGCGCAGCUAACGCAUUAAGUUAUCCGCCUGGGGAGUACGGUCGCAAGAUUAAAACUCAAAGGAAUUGACGGGGGCCUGCGCAAGCGGUGGAGCAUGUGGUUUAAUUCGAAGCAACGCGCAGAACCUUACCAGCCUUUGACAUCCUGGUCGCGGAUUAGAGAGAUCUUUUCCUUCAGUUCGGCUGGACCAGUGACAGGUGCUGCACGGCCGUCGACAACU
Molecule: ribosomal RNA, 292 nt
Filed under: uncultured bacterium
Lineage: Bacteria
Description: partial 16S ribosomal RNA
Rfam family: Bacterial small subunit ribosomal RNA
Source: RNAcentral